This is a long non-coding RNA of Neoarius graeffei (lesser salmon catfish), 2012 nucleotides long. RefSeq lists it as uncharacterized. The transcript is spliced from 4 exons. The record is from RefSeq and is a predicted model, not a curated record. Lineage: Eukaryota; Metazoa; Chordata; Actinopteri; Siluriformes; Ariidae.
AAGACAGGAAGAGAAUCUCAAUUCCACAAUUAAUUGUUUUUUAAAGACAAAUCAUCAGCAAGGGCCUUUUCCAUUUUCACAAGCCCAAACAGGCUCAUCUUUGAAGGUUGUACAAGGGAAAUCACUUCAGGAGACUUAUCCUCAGAGGGCUCACACAGCGCAGGACUACAUAUAAAAAGGACUCCGAUAAAUCAGACAGAGGAAUCCUCUACAUGAGAGGGUCACUCAAAGUCUCUUUGACCUAACCCAAGCAACAGCACAGGCUGGGAACACGGCAGGAUUUUCUGCAACAGCAAGUCAGGACUAUCAACAAGUAAAGAAACCAGAGUUAUCUGUGGACAGUCCGGAACGAGAGAGAGAACUGUGAUACCCCAGAGAUCUGUCACACUGGUGCCGAAACCUGGGACUGAGGAACAAACACUACCACGGGAUCAGAAGCAGUCCAAGACCUCCUCCAAAUGCUCGCCAACAACCUCCAGCGCCAGCAGUAUGCCCUCGUCGUGCUUUCCAUCAACCUGGACUGGCGCUUUUGGGAUCUGCUUGAAGCCCAGGCAGAGGAUCGGCAGGUAAUAUGGAGCUGGGUACAGUCUGCAGGUGCUCCAGCCAGCGUUCCUGCGGCCAGCAUGCCUGUCCAGCUGGUGAAGAUGGAGCCGCAGGACUACCCCAACGCCUUCAUUGAGCUGUUUGAGCAUGUUGCGGAGGCAAGCUCCUGGUCAACCACACAGUGAGCGGCUUGCCUUCUGCUCCUCCUGUUGGGAGAGGCCCAGCUCAUGGCUCAACAGCUCACGGCCUCCAAUAUGCUGGAGUACCCUCACCUGAUGCGAGCCAUCCUACAGCGGGUUGGACACAGCCCAGAAGAACAGCACCAGCGCUUCUGCUCACUGGCUUAUGGCAAAGUGGGCCGGCCAUUUGCACUUGCCCAACAGCUCCGGGAUGCCUGCUGACAGUGGCUUCUGGCCAGUGAGUGUAACAUCAAAGCUAUCAUCGAGCAAGUGGCACUGGAGCAGUUUGUUGCUCAGCUGCCGAGCGGGACAUCAGCAUGGCUCUGGUGUCACCGAACAACAUUGCUGGAGGAGGCGGUCCGACUGACUGAGGAUCGUCUGAUGGUGUAUCCAGAAGCAGGCUCUGUGACAACUCUCUCUCUCAAUCACUUUCUCCUUCCCCCUCUCCCUCUCCUUGCCCCUCCCCUAUCUCAGCCCCACAGAAACAGGGGCCAACUCCCUUGAAAUCUGCUCCCCACACCCUUGUCUAUCCCAAUGUUUCCACUCUCCCUUCUCCUUCUGUGACUGUGCCGCCAUUAACCCUCUCUCUCUCUCUCUCUCUCUCUACAGAUGAACUCAUCCAUGCCCACCAGAACCACAAGCAAGCCCAGGCAGGUCUGUAAGCAUGGAGAGAAGGGAAAUCAGUGCUUCCAUAAGGAGGCAGGGCUACUGGUUUACAUUCCUGAUGCACUUCAGGCUUCCCCUGAUCAAGCAGGGGCAUACAGGAUAACUACCGAUGCAUUGGACAGAGGGCUGGGGGAUGUUUUGUCCCAGUUGCUGGAAGGGGAGGAGUGUCCAGUGCUGUAAAUCAGUCACAAGCUCUCCAUGUGAGAGUCAAAAUACAGCACCAUAGAAAAGGAGUAUCUGACCAUCAAGUGGACAGUCCUCACUCUCCGCUACUAUCUGCUAAGACUCCCAUUCACCCUCUGUUCCGAUCAUGCCCCAUUCCAGUGGCUCCACCGCAUAAAGGAUGCCAACGUGCAGAUCACUUGUUGGCAUCUAGCCCUUCAACCCUUUAAAUUCAAGGUGGUCCACAGGCCAGGGGCGCAGAUGGUGGUGGCAGAUUACUUCUCCCACCAGGGCGGGAGUCAGCUGCAGGCUGGACAACUCCCUAGCCUGAGUCGGGCCAUGGAGGUAUGUGGCAGUGGGGGCGAGGUCAAGCGUCGACUGUGAACGGCAAGGAGGCAGGUUGAACCAGCAGGUAACAUGUGAUGAGCUGCACCUGUGUCAGAUUGCUGGCUGUCUAUUAAC